This is a long non-coding RNA of Anolis carolinensis (green anole), 4290 nucleotides long. RefSeq lists it as uncharacterized. NCBI's taxonomy places the organism in Eukaryota, Metazoa, Chordata, Lepidosauria, Squamata, Anolidae. The transcript is spliced from 2 exons. The record is from RefSeq and is a predicted model, not a curated record.
UAAUAAUAAUAAUAAUAAUAAUAAUAAUAAUAAUAAUAGUUUUAUUUUUACCUGCUGCUUCCCAAAGUUUGAGGAAAGUUACAACACAGUUAAAAUGCAAUAGAGAAAAAUAUAAAUGUAGAUCAAAAACACAAAGGCAAGUUUAAAACACACAAAAAAAAUCAAUCAUAGCUAUAAAAUAUCAAUCGAAAGUUAAAAUUGACUGGGUAAGCCUGCCAGAAGAGAUAGGUCUUUAGUUAUUUUUAAAAAAUUCUGACAGCUUGCUUUGCUGUGGAAUAACUUCCAGAGGUCAUUCCACAGCCUAGGAGCAGACGAGGAACAGGUUAUCUGGGUGACAGCUGCCAGUCAAGUUCUGGCUGACUGAUGUAAACAUCCCUAGAAAGACCUGUAUGUAUGGGGUGGAGGUUAUCCUGUAGGUAAACAAGACCUAGCCAAGUGGGCUUUACAGGUAAUAACCAACACUUCGUUGGUUAAAAUAGAUGAAAUAUGCUCACACUUGGGUGUACCAGUAAUCAAUCUAGCUGCCAUUUCUUGAAAUAAUUGGAACUUCUGAACUUGGUACAGAGGUAAUCCAAUGUACAGCACAUUCCAGAAGUCCACCCUUAAUGUAACCAGUGCAAUUACCAUCUUAGGGUCUUCCCAUUCUACAAAAGGGGCACAGCUGGCAUAUUAGCUGAAACUGUUAAUAAGCACUCCUAACUUUCGUAUCUAUCUGACAUAACAUUUGUUGAGACAGAUCCAGAGCACUCCGAAGCUGCACACAGUCUUUCAGGAGGAGUGGAGUCCUAUCCAAAACUGGGCACAUCUCCAAUCCGAGAUUAGAUUUUUAAUAGUAGGUGUCACUCUCUUGUAUGGAUUCAGUUUAAAUUUAUUAGUUUUUUUCAUGCAGCCUAUUACUUCCUCCAACAUGUUUAAAAUAUUGAAAAAAUUUACAUCUGAAGCGGCCUUGUACUGAAGAAGACCAUUAGUCCGUAUUGUCCUACAUACCUGGCACCAUCUUUCUGGGAUUACAGGCCCAGGAAUGUACUUUUAAAGCAACAUUACCUAAAAUGGUUAAACUGGAAAAAUUGGGCAUUGAUAGAAAAAAAAUAGUAUGAUAGCCAUGUCUAUAAAAUGUCAAGGUGAAAGGACAUGAUUGAAAGGUGAUAUGAUAGCUAUAUUUCAAUACGUUGAAGUGUUUCACAUAGAAAAUGGAGCAGAUUUGUUUCCUGCUACUCCAGAAAGGAGAACAUGAAUAAGUGAAUUCAAAUUAUAAGGAAAGAGAUUUUUCCUAAGUAGUCAGAAAACCUUCAUGAUGGUAAGAGUGUUCAAAAGUGGAAUAGACUACCCUGGUGGAUUGUGUAUUCUCCAUCUUUGGAGGUCUUGAAACAGACGUUGGAUGGACACCUUUUUGGCAGUGCUUCAAUUGUGUAUUCCUGCAUUGCAUGUUUUGGGUCCAAACUACCUACAGUAUGUAUUCACAGGUCCUCUGGGAAAUAUUUACUUCAGUCAGCCAGUACUAGGUAGGCUAGCAACUGUCAUCUUGAGGAUUUUUUUUUUCCCCGCUGCCUUCAGACUGCUGAAUGACCUGCCAGAAGUGAUUCAACAUCUGGAUAUGCUGUUUGAAUGUAAAAUAAAAUUAAAAACCAGUUUCUUCCAGCAGACCUGCUGAGAUUUUUUUUUUUUGAGUAAUGAAUUUUAAAGUACAGAUUGAUUGUUUUUAAUAUGAAUAUUUUCUUUUAAUUGAGAUUAUAUGUUUUGAACUUGUAUUCUGUGCUUUUAAUUAAUGUUUGUGUUGCAUUUUAAUGUGUUGCUGUUCCCCACUUUGAUCCAUAGGAAGAAGCAGGUGACAUUUGUUGUUGUUGCAGGCAAACAGAGUAUGAGUUGACCAAGGUAACCCAGUGGAUUUCCAUGGCUGUGUUGGAAUUGAACCCUGGUCACAUGGAGUCCUUGUCCAACACUCAAACUACUACACCAUGUUGGCUCUAAAAUUGCAAAUACUCCAGAUGAGAUCAUAAUUGGUAAUUGGUCACUGAUUUACCUUCUUUAGCAAACCUAGUUAAAUAUUUUUCUAAACUGUUCACAUGGUGUUUCUCCAGGUAGCUGCAAAACUGAAACAAUGUCACCGAUUCAGCUGGGAGGUCUGCUGAAGGAAAGAACAGGCUGCCUCCAACUAUCUGUUCCAGGAACAUCUGCAGAACUGAAAGAGAAUGCAAAUAAAUUAGGAAUAAGACACUCCUCAUAAGUAUUUGUGGCUUGGGUGUUUUGGAAGUUAGUUGAGUUCUUAAAUAAGUACAGUAUUACCAAGAUGUAUUCCUUUUCUUUACUUCUAGCCAAAUCUGGAAAUUUAUUUUCAAAAUAUAAUUACAGUAGAGUCUCACUUAUCCAACACUCGCUUAUCCAACAUUCUAGACUAUCCAACGCAUUUUUGUAGUCGAUGUUUUCAAUAUAUCGUGAUAUUUUGGUGCUAAAUUCGUAAAUACAGUAAUUACUACAUAGCAUUACUGUGUAUUGAACUACUUUUUCUGUCAAAUUUGUUGUAUAACAUGAUGUUUUGGUGCUUAAUUUGUAAAAUCAUAACCUAAUUUGAUGUUUAAUAGGCUUUUCCUUAAUCUCUCCUUAUUAUCCAAGAUAUUCGCUUAUCCAAGCUUCUGCCGGUCCGUUUGGAUAAGUGAGACUCUACUGUAUUCUCAAAAUCAUAUCCACAUGUAGCAAUUAGAAACUGAACCUAAUUUAAGAUGUGUACAGUUGGUAUCCUUAUAACGUUCUGCCGGCCCGUUUACGUUGGAUAAGUGAGACUCUACUGUAGUUACAGUAAGAGCUAAGAGAAGCUCACAAGUAUUUAGCUACUGCUACAGUUGCAACUUUUAAAAAAACCAUUUUAAUAAAAAUAACUGAAUCAGUGAUUGAAGUUACUUUUUUAAAACAUCUGAAUGCUACAAGCCACUGGAUUUUGGUACAAAACACACAGUUCUCAUUGCAUUGUCUUCAUACAACAUAAUACACAGCUGCCACAUAACUUGCAGCACGAGUCAGUGCUUGAACCCACCACGGAGGGAGGAUACAUUCCAUAACCAUAAGUUACUUCCCAUUAAAUUUCAGUUGUAAAGUAAUUUAGAGCUCAUCUACACAGAUGAAAAAAUGCACUUUCACUCUGUAUUUCUAGGUCUGCAGUGAUGCAACAGUGACUGUUAAUGUCAUACACACCAGACACAUUGUAGUGAGAUCCAACACAACAAAGUGAUGCUCCCUGGAGGACCAGCCACACAUCUAAAAAAUUGAAUUUUAUGGAAAACCACAGAGUAAAGGAACAUUUUUCCUGCUGUACAGACAACCCCGUAGUUAUAACUUAUAACUGUUAUGGAAAUGAAUUGAUUACAACAGCUCCCCAGGUUUGCAGAACAAGUAAUUUCUUUAACAAGUUUAACAUUGAGUCCAAUGCACUCAAGUCCAUUGUGAUCUUGUGCCAUCUGCUCAGGACAGAUAAGUACUGUGAUGACUCAUGGGCCAUGUAGUCCCGUUCCAAGUACUAUUGUGGCAGAUGAAGAGGAAAACUUGGGUUUCCCACCGUUUCUGCCAGAUUUGGAGCCCUUGCACCUGCAAGAUGUUUGCCCACAAGAAGACAGCCAAACAAGCCUUGAGCAGAAAUCUCCCCCAUUUUCUCGCCGGGUUUAUUAUAAUCAAGAUAGAAGCGCUCCAGAGGCGACUUGCCGGAGCGCCAGGAUAGCUGCCAGACAAUUAGCUGAUUAAGUCUGCUUCCCUUGGGAAACUUUAAGGAGUCAUGCAUCUGGACACAGUAUAGGUUUCGUUUCUUGUUCCCCAGAGAAAGUGUUCCUUGGCGGGAAAACAAGAUCCUAUAUAGGUGUUUGGCCGCAAAGGAAUCCUUGCGGAGUCAAUUCAUCAGCUUCGGGAGUAGAUUGUGUGUGGACUACGCUACUCCAGUUUCCAGGACCUUGCUCUCAUUCCAGCCCUGCCUUGUUCCCCGGACCUCGCCACGGAUUUCGCCACGGACCCUGUUCUUGCUCCUCGCUUCUUGUUGCCUUGAAUCAAGCCUUGUUUGCCAAGAAUCUAGUUUGCUCCCCAGCCUUGCAUCAAGCUCCAUGGACUAAAGGACCUUGUCAUUUCCCCUCACUUUGCUUGGCAAAGUGUGUGUUUCGGUUAUUGGAUUACAACUUUGGACUUUAAUAUCUCAUAUUGGACAUUGUUUUCCUGGACUAUAUUUGACCUUUCCUGAAAGGUCUACUUCUGAACUAUAUUCUACACUUGUUUUUAUUAACUUUAUAUAUUUCCUUAAUAAAGAUAUUAGAUAGA